RNAcentral lists this ribosomal RNA (258 nucleotides) under uncultured bacterium. RNAcentral describes it as "partial 16S ribosomal RNA". It matches the Rfam family "Bacterial small subunit ribosomal RNA", at positions 524 to 777 of the family's 1533-position model. The record is from RNAcentral.
UACGGAGGGUGCGAGCGUUGUCCGGAAUCAUUGGGCGUAAAGGGCGCGUAGGCGGCCCGGUCAGUUCGUGGUGAAAGCGCGGGGCUCAACUCCGCGUCGGCCAUGGAUACUGCUGGGCUCGAGCACUGUAGAGGCAGGCGGAAUUCCGGGUGUAGCGGUGGAAUGCGUAGAGAUCCGGAAGAACACCGGUGGCGAAGGCGGCCUGCUGGGCAGUUUUGCUGACACUGGAGGCGCGACGAGCGUGGGGAGCAAACAGGG